RNAcentral lists this ribosomal RNA (253 nucleotides) under uncultured bacterium. RNAcentral describes it as "partial 16S ribosomal RNA". It matches the Rfam family "Bacterial small subunit ribosomal RNA", at positions 524 to 776 of the family's 1533-position model. The record is from RNAcentral.
UACAGAGGUGGCAAGCGUUGUUCGGAAUUACUGGGCGUAAAGGGCGCGUAGGCGGUUCGUUAAGUCCUGUGUGAAAGCCCCCGGCUUACCCGGGGAUCUGCAUCCCAAACUGCUUGGCUUGAGUACGGGAGAGGAUAGGGGAAUUCCUGGUGUAGCGGUGAAAUGCGUAGAUAUCAGGAGGAACACCGGUGGCGAAGGCGCCUAUCUGGCCCGAUACUGACGCUGAGGCGCGAAAGCUAGGGGAGCAAACGGG